Molecule: long non-coding RNA, 1354 nt
Filed under: Ursus maritimus (polar bear)
Lineage: Eukaryota; Metazoa; Chordata; Mammalia; Carnivora; Ursidae
Description: lncRNA (ENSUMAG00000000477.1)
Source: RNAcentral
AACUGAAGACAGACUCUUAACGGACUGAGCCACCCAGGCGCCCCUAACUGGACACUUUCAUUCUAAAAGGGAAAGUCCUAGGCAUGAAGGGACACCUGCAGCACACGCUCCUGUGCCUGCCACGAGCCCAGCCUGGGCAGCUGGAAGAGUGGGGGACCCGAAGCUGAGGCUGGAUCUGCAGGACGGUCAGGGCAGAGGCCUUCGGGGCAGAUGCGCAUCAAUCCCAGGCAAGCUGGACUCGCACAUGAGUCAGCCUGGACUCCUGGCGUCCUGUCCUAGAGCCCAAUGCCCAGGACGAGAAAGGAGGCCGCACACAGGCUCAUAUGACCCCAGACGAGGGGCUGUUCCCCGAGCAGCUGCAGCCCUGGCUGUUCUGGAAGCCAGACUGCUUUCCUAACCAGGACAGAGCCGGAGGACAGAAAGCAUGUGACCCCCAGACCUCCACUUCAGGGCACCGCCCCUACCUCAGAACUCAAGAUGGUUCCACCGGACUGGCAGCUCCGGACUGAGGCUGAAAGCCUUGAGACUUCCCUGCAGUUGCCGCCUCGCCUCGCAUUCUGGCCACGGCUCACCACUGCCGUCCUAGGAGCCAGCAGAAGUCACCACGGUGGACCCCUCUCUCCUGCUUCAAGGACCACCUGCUCAGGAACAUCUAGUUCUCCUGGUUUGCUUUUCACCUCUGCUGCCAGCUUUACCCCAGCCUGCGGUUCAACGCUGGAGUGUCCCAGGGCUCCACUCCACUCCCCACCCUGGGAGAGUUUGUCAGAAGCCUGACUUUCGGUGUUCUCUCCACGCUGCUCGCUCCAGAUUUUUACCUCCGUCUGGGACCCUGGGCUGGGCCCAGUGUCCAGGGGUCUGGGCUGGGCUCCCUCGCCCAUCUCUUCACUCCACCCACUGGGAACCUUCUGCAAAGUUUGCUUGGCUUUGUUUUUUUUUUUUGUUUUUUGUUUUUGUUUUAAUUUUUUUCAAAGUGUGGACUAUAAUGAAUACAGAAAGACAUUCUGCUCAAUGAUUUCUCACAGGCCAAACCCUCACAAAACACAGCCCGGGGGAAAGACACUGCUGGUGCCCGACGGUGCCUGUGCGGCUCUGCAGUCAUUCCUCCCUGCUCUGCCCGAGUUCUAAGGGAAGGUGGUCAUUACCUCGAUUUUCUUGAUUGUUACCACCUAAACGUACCUCUCCGAACGACCACUUUCUUGGGGCACCUGGCUGGCUCAGUUGGUGGAACAUGUGACUCUCCAUCUGCAGGUCAGGAGUUCAAGCCGCAGACUGGGUGUAGGGCUGACUUUAAAACAACAACAACAACAACAACAACAUAAAUAAAUAAAUAAAUAAAUAAAUAAAUAAAUAACCA